This 445-nucleotide ribosomal RNA is filed under the name uncultured bacterium. Its description in RNAcentral is "partial 16S ribosomal RNA". It matches the Rfam family "Bacterial small subunit ribosomal RNA", at positions 354 to 796 of the family's 1533-position model. The record is from RNAcentral.
GUGAGGAAUAUUGCGCAAUGGAGGCAACUCUGACGCAGCCAUGCCGCGUGCAGGAAGAAGGCGCUACGCGUUGUAAACUGCUUUUAACCGGGAAGAAACCCCAGGACGUGUCCUGGGUUGACGGUACCGGAGGAAUAAGCACCGGCUAACUUCGUGCCAGCAGCCGCGGUAAUACGAAGGGUGCAAGCGAUAUCCGGAUUCAUUGGGUUUAAAGGGUGCGUAGGCGGAGCGUUAAGUCAGUGGUGAAAUCCUGCAGCUUAACUGUAGACUUGCCAUUGAUACUGGCGCUCUUGAGUGCGCUUGAAGUGGGCGGAAUGUGCCGUGUAGCGGUGAAAUGCUUAGAUAUGGCACAGAACACCAAUUGCGAAGGCAGCUCACUAAGGCGAUACUGACGCUGAGGCACGAAAGCGUGGGGAUCGAACAGGAUUAGAAACCCGUGUAGUCC